UUAAGAAAAGCGAAUAAAAGCAGUCGAUCUGCUGGUUCAUAGCGAAACAAAUGGAUUGCUCCACCAUGGUGAGUGGGACAGUGCUUGAGGUCAAUCUGCUUAAAAAAAGAGCAAUCAGGAAAUGCUGCGUGAGGAUUAAAGUUGUCGUCGUGUCUUGAACAAACUGCACAGCAAAGACACCAGACAUCGCUUGGCCCCAUACAUCAGGAGGGGUUUGGACUAAGCCAAAACAUUGUUUUGCAAGCACCAGUGUGUCAGAAGAUAAACAGAAGCUGCCAGGGGCAGUGUCCUGCCCUGCGGCCUCAGAACUUCAGCCAGGCAAGUUGCUGCAUUUGUCCGGCAUUUCUGGAUGUACCAUUGACGGUGAGACCUACUGC
RNAcentral lists this long non-coding RNA (377 nucleotides) under Anser brachyrhynchus (Pink-footed goose). RNAcentral describes it as "lncRNA (ENSABRG00000017821.1)". Lineage: Eukaryota; Metazoa; Chordata; Aves; Anseriformes; Anatidae. The record is from RNAcentral.